Long non-coding RNA from Xiphias gladius (swordfish), 1266 nucleotides. RefSeq lists it as uncharacterized. The transcript is spliced from 3 exons. NCBI's taxonomy places the organism in Eukaryota, Metazoa, Chordata, Actinopteri, Istiophoriformes, Xiphiidae. The record is from RefSeq and is a predicted model, not a curated record.
GCCACGAUGGUCCGUGUAGUUAAUUAAAAGGGUCAGCUGUGUUCAUUUUAACCGUUCCUGUUAUUACCUGAGCUGAGGAAGAGGUGUUAGCAGUGGGGCUGAGAGCAGCGCAGAAACUAUCUGCUGCCACCAACGCUGAGAGACGAUGAUGAGGUCUAAUUACCACUGACCAGACGAAGCAUCCAGAUACGGCAUCUGUAGACCGCAACAUCUCAGGAGCUGUCGUAAAACAUGUCUCAGAAGAUUAUGCGACAUGAAGAACACUGGGCACAUGGCCAAGAGGAUGCGUGAAGUGAGGAUGCCAAGCAGAGAAACUGCCGCUACUGGAAGAAAAGAAGAAAACUUCAGAAUGAACCUUCAGGUGUAUGUAGGUGUUGGGGGAUGUGCAUGCUGUUUGGUGCAUGAGACAGUUGGCUGUAAACGGUUGGCAAAUCAAACCUGGUCUGGCUUGAGAGGAUGCCCUGAGAGUAAACAUCCGAUUCGCUGUGUAUGCUUGCUGGUUCACAUUUUACAUACUCCUACUUGGAGUAAUGGAAGGAAGCAAGUAUUUAUUGGUAUCACCUACGACAGUCAAUCUGUGGGAUGUAUUCACAGCUGAAGAGGUGAUCUGCAAGUUAAAUGAAUUUCUCUUUAACUCAGACCGACAUUAAUUCAUCUGUAAUCUAGCAAAGGCAACUAUAAUGGAGUCCUCGUAACUAAGUACAUUUAUUCUAGUACUCUACCUCACUACAAAAUGUAGGUACUUGUAGUUUACCUGAGUCUUGUCUUUUCAUGCCACUUAAUACUUUCCCUUGACUACAUUUCAAAGGUCAAUAUUGCACUUUUUACUCCACCAAAUGUAUUUAUACAGCUUUAGUUACUUUACAAAUUAAGAUUUUUGGAUACAAAUCAUAUGAAGUGCUAAUAAAUUAUGAUACUCUGUUAUAAAGUAAAGUACCCAACAGUAAAUACAAGUGUCGCUUACACAUUAACACGUGAGCAAUAAUAAUCUAAUGAUAUAAUAUAUAAUAGUAAAACAGUCUCAGGGGCAAUUUCUCUGCAUAGAGUACUUUCACUGUGGAUACUUAAAGUACAUUUUCCUGACUGUACUUACAUACUUAACUUAAGUCAUAUUUUCAGUGCAGGAAUUUUAAUUGUAACAGUGCAUAGUAAUUUUAAGGACCUAAAUACUUCCUCCACCACUGCAGGUAAGUAUGAAAGCUAGCUAUUUUAUAUUAUUUAUAUUUUAUACUAUGAACACUUGGCAUUUAUUGUGUGUCUGCGUUU